RNAcentral lists this ribosomal RNA (429 nucleotides) under Bacteroidota bacterium. Its description in RNAcentral is "Bacteroidetes bacterium partial 16S ribosomal RNA". It matches the Rfam family "Bacterial small subunit ribosomal RNA", at positions 355 to 776 of the family's 1533-position model. Lineage: Bacteria; Pseudomonadati; Bacteroidota. The record is from RNAcentral.
UAGGGAAUCUUCGGCAAUGGGGGGAACCCUGACCGAGCAACGCCGCGUGAGUGAAGAAGGUUUUCGGAUCGUAAAGCUCUGUUGUUAAGGAAGAACGAGUGUGAGAAUGGAAAGUUCAUACUGUGACGGUACUUAACCAGAAAGGGACGGCUAACUACGUGCCAGCAGCCGCGGUAAUACGUAGGUCCCGAGCGUUGUCCGGAUUUAUUGGGCGUAAAGCGAGCGCAGGCGGUUAGAUAAGUCUGAAGUUAAAGGCAGUGGCUCAACCAUUGUAGGCUUUGGAAACUGUUUGACUUGAGUGCAGAAGGGGAGAGUGGAAUUCCAUGUGUAGCGGUGAAAUGCGUAGAUAUAUGGAGGAACACCAGUGGCGAAGGCGACUCUCUGGUCUGUAACUGACGCUGAGGCUCGAAAGCGUGGGUAGCAAACAGG